AUGGCAAAACCCUUUCUGUCUCUAGGUGUUUAUAGAGCACCAGCACCACAGAAACCAGGCACUGUAUUAAGAGGCCUCCACUCAAGCCCUGUCCCUCCAGGGGGCCUUUCGCUACCCUCUCUCUCUUCCAUGUCAUUAAGUUAUCACAGUGCAACAGUUAUGCCAGGACGUGCAAUAGCUCCAGUAUGGCCAUUGUUGAUGGUCUCUCAGAAGAAUAUCAGUUUAUCUUUCUCAGCUGAGCAAGAACUUCCUGUGUCCAACAUCAAACCAGUUUCAGUGCUGAUCUACGGUUACUAUAAAAGAGGCAAACACGUCUUGUUGAGUGCCGCACAGCCUGUGGUCAGACAUCUCACCCGGAAAGCAGCUGCAAGUCUGCAGCGAUUAGAGCAACAUGUGAGUGAUACUCUACAUAGAGAGUGAUAAGAGUGGGGAGAGGGGAAGGGGGGGGGGGGAGGAGGAGAGAGUGGGUGGCAUGCAGAGAUGUAGUUAAAUGAAAGGAAGAGCUGUUCCAAAUCCAAAAUGCUCUGAGACAGUUUGUAAGGUAUUUGGAAAUGAGCCCAUGUCACUGGAAAAAUAUACAAGAUUUUGCAGAUGUUGGGCUUGGAAAUGAAUCCCUUUUUACAGUGAAAAUAAACCUAUUCCUGAGCAGAAAAUGGGCCCA
RNAcentral lists this long non-coding RNA (661 nucleotides) under Chrysemys picta bellii (western painted turtle). Its description in RNAcentral is "lncRNA (ENSCPBG00000010965.1)". Lineage: Eukaryota; Metazoa; Chordata; Testudines; Emydidae. The record is from RNAcentral.